Molecule: ribosomal RNA, 500 nt
Filed under: uncultured bacterium
Lineage: Bacteria
Description: partial 16S ribosomal RNA
Rfam family: Bacterial small subunit ribosomal RNA
Source: RNAcentral
AUUGAACGCUGGCGGAAUGCUUUACACAUGCAAGUCGAACGGCAGCACGGACUUCGGUCUGGUGGCGAGUGGCGAACGGGUGAGUAAUGUAUCGGAACGUGCCCAGUCGUGGGGGAUAACGUAGUGAAAAUUACGCUAAUACCGCAUACGAUCUAUGGAUGAAAGCGGGGGAUCGCAAGACCUCGCGCGAUUGGAGCGGCCGAUAUCAGAUUAGGUAGUUGGUGAGGUAAAGGCCCACCAAGCCAACGAUCUGUAGCUGGUCUGAGAGGACGACCAGCCACACUGGAACUGAGGCACGGUCCAGACUCCUACGGGAGGCAGCAGUGGGGAAUUUUGGACAAUGGGCGAAAGCCUGAUCCAGCCAUUCCGCGUGCAGGAUGAAGGCCCUCGGGUUGUAAACUGCUUUUGUACAGAACGAAAAGGUUUCUACUAAUACUAGGAGCUCAUGACGGUACUGUAAGAAUAAGCACCGGCUAACUACGUGCCAGCCGCCGCAGUAA